UCUGGCCGCGCGCGCUGAUGCCGCCUCACGCUGCUGUUCCGUCCGCGCCGCCUGCUGCCAGCGCUCGGGUAACCCGGGAAGGCCAGAGUCAACCAGCCCCGGACCAGCGUCCCGCACCCUGGCCGUCCCGGCCAGCCUGGAUGUAGACGGUAAGGAAGGGGAGGCAGAGACUCAGAUGGCUACACAUCUGACAUGAGCCAUUUAAGCUAUCAGAGACUGAGCAACCUCUUCUAUCAAAUGAAGUCUCUGCCGUAGAGACUGGCUACUAUCUCCCUGCUUCAGGCUUAUUCAUCCUUCAGAAGUCAGAAGCUUCCUGGACCUUCCUGGUUAGGAGGAUGCCCUUACGAGACACUCGGCUCCCCUUGGCCCCCGCCUCUCCUUUGGCAUCUAACAUCUCCCUCUCCUUCUCUGCCUCCCUCCUCAUUUCCUCAUCCUCAUGGCUGAAGUGAAAAACUCCAAUAUGGCGAAACCAUGUGAUGAAAUAUGUUUGGAUCACCACACGGAGGGAAACUGCUCGGGAAGGAUGCCUGACCGCGUCAAUCUUCCCAAUAUGAGAGAAAGAAAUGUUUGUAUUUUGUAGAGCCUAAGGCUUGGAAGUUCUUUGUAAAAGUCAACUUGAACUUAGAAAGCUGGCGUCAUACUUUCCUAAUUUGUUUUUUUAAAUCAUCACCUUCCAGA
This is a long non-coding RNA of Balaenoptera acutorostrata (minke whale), 678 nucleotides long. RefSeq lists it as uncharacterized. NCBI's taxonomy places the organism in Eukaryota, Metazoa, Chordata, Mammalia, Artiodactyla, Balaenopteridae. The record is from RefSeq and is a predicted model, not a curated record. The transcript is spliced from 4 exons.